Molecule: long non-coding RNA, 1428 nt
Organism: Triticum aestivum (bread wheat)
Lineage: Eukaryota; Viridiplantae; Streptophyta; Magnoliopsida; Poales; Poaceae
Exons: 2
Source: RefSeq, a predicted model, not a curated record
UCACCUCAUUAAAAAUUCAGGGAGCAAGGUUUUUGAGUCGCCGAGUCAAGCCAAGUCGCCAAGGCUGCGGCUAGUGGCUUGCUGGCUUGAGUCAGUAACUUGCCUGGACUAAUCGCCCCAAGUCGCCAUGGCACUCCUGCACCUGUUUCCCUCCUUUGCAUAGCCCAUUAAUGCCAGAUAAGCAAAGUUAUCAGGCCAAACAGGCCCAGCACGGCCCAGCUAACCACUCCCGGCCCUCAUCCACUCGCUAAACCUAGCGCUGCCAGCCUGCACUCCUUCAUCUGCGCCUCUCCUCUCGAACUUCUUCCUCUGCGCCGCCGGCGAGGAGAGGCGGCGCCUCCUCCCCAGCCUCACCCGCCUCCGGCUCAGUCCUGCAGCUUCAUCUCCUCCUCCCUCGCCUUAGUCUGCGCCGCCGCAGCCUCGCUCAAGGUCACGGCCGUCGCCGCGGAGGUCCAGCCGCCGUCGAUCUGAAGGGGGUGCGUCGCCGGCGAGCUGCGACGGCGGUUCCUAGGUCACGGCCGCGAGCGCCAUGGCUUCCUCUCCUCCCGAGCUCCCUCCCUUUCCCUCUCUCUGUCGAGCCAGCAAGUCAAUUGAUCGACUAAUCGCAGCGAUUAAUCGCAGAAAAUCGCUGUUGAGCCAGCGAGUCGGGCGACUCGCUCCGCGAGCCAAGUCGCCCGCGCAAGCCAGUCACGACGCGACGACUAGGCGAUUAGUCGGCGACUAAUCGGCGAUUAGUCGGCGACUCAAAAACCUCGUCAGGGAGGAGACUUGUGUGGCAUAUGACGAAAUAAUUUUUUUCAAUGGGAUAUUUCAUUGCAGGGUGAUAUGGAGGAACCAAAAGAUCCAGAAGCAUCACCUCAUUAAAAAUUUAGGGAGGACACUUGUUUGGCAUAUGACGAAAUUUUGUUGAAGGUAUUUGUGUGAUUGAUGAGAACUACAUACAUAACAAUGCAAGGACACUAUAAUUUCGCAUUUUCAAGGCUAGCACAUGGAGCGGUAAAAGGGAGGAGGAGCUACCAUGGUGGCCAGGUAACUCGAGGAUGGAAGGGAAUUGGUGUAGAAUAAGCCUGCUCUCUACAAGAAAAUACAUAGGAUAAUUAGGAAACAAGGUGCUGAAAAAAAUAGAAGAAAAUGCAGAGACCAAAUACAGGGACUGCAACUCUGCAAGACUGAAAUUAAUGAAAAGCUAAGCCUUUUCUAUUUUAGAUGAACAAACAGCAAAGCCAGUUGAGGAGCGAUCUCCAGUAGCUCCCCGGUCACUAGCGGAGUCAAAGAUUGUCCGCUGAAAGACGGACAAGUGAUCAUGUUUUAUCAUUGUUGAAAGGAGUAGUGAAUGCUGAUGUACGUAUAUUUUUCAUUCAAUCUAAUGGAAGUGCAAAUUUAUCAUGUUGAAAGGAGUAGUGAAUGCUGAUGUACGUAUAUUUUUCA